RNAcentral lists this small RNA (92 nucleotides) under Salix viminalis (osier). The record is from RNAcentral. Lineage: Eukaryota; Viridiplantae; Streptophyta; Magnoliopsida; Malpighiales; Salicaceae.
AUCUGUCAUGUUGAGAGAGAGUUGUUGAUGAAUAUUGAUAAUUUUACAUACUUUGCAUAUUCUCAAUCCCCUCUCCUCUUCUUCAGAUUCUU